This 301-nucleotide ribosomal RNA is filed under the name uncultured bacterium. Its description in RNAcentral is "partial 16S ribosomal RNA". It matches the Rfam family "Bacterial small subunit ribosomal RNA", at positions 509 to 807 of the family's 1533-position model. The record is from RNAcentral.
CAGUAGCCACGGUAAUACAGAGGGUGCGAGCGUUAAUCGGAUUUACUGGGCGUAAAGCGUGCGUAGGCGGCUUCUUAAGUCGGAUGUGAAAUCCCUGAGCUUAACUUAGGAAUUGCAUUCGAUACUGGGAAGCUAGAGUAUGGGAGAGGAUGGUAGAAUUCCAGGUGUAGCGGUGAAAUGCGUAGAGAUCUGGAGGAAUACCGAUGGCGAAGGCAGCCAUCUGGCCUAAUACUGACGCUGAGGCGCGAAAGCUAGGGGAGCAAACAGGAUUAGAUACCCCGGUAGUCCCUGUCUCUUAUAC